GAAACAGGAAGAAAAUAAAGCACACCCAUGUUAGGUUCUUGAGAGGGACUGUACUUAGGUUUGGGUUGUCUGGUCUUUAUUCAAGUUUGCAUCUGGGAAGACUGUCACAAAGGCAAAUCAGAAGAUCCA
Molecule: long non-coding RNA, 129 nt
Organism: Octodon degus (degu)
Lineage: Eukaryota; Metazoa; Chordata; Mammalia; Rodentia; Octodontidae
Exons: 3
Source: RefSeq, a predicted model, not a curated record